UUGCCAUCAAUCCAAAAUCAGCUGAGCUGCAACAUUAUACAGACAGCUCCUCCUUCACAAGUUGGGAUGGCCACUGCAUUUUCAGAACACCACAGAGAUGGUCAGGAGAAACAGGAGUUGAAUGAUGCCAAGGACCAGGGAGACUUUACUAGUAUCAACACAGUUAUGGCAAGCAAAGGUUGCUGGGGACAGGAGCUUCAGGAGGUUCAAAACAAACAACUGACACAAGUUCUGGACAAGACCCAAAGUCCAAACACACAUCUAGCCUUUGUGAGCAAGAUGGCUCUCACGCGGUCAGAUUUUUGGAGUUUGGGUUUGGCUAAUGACAUGGAUGGGAUGAUCCUGAACAGCUGUCUUACAGUUAUUGAGAAGAGAGUAGAUGGCGUGUUUGCUGCCAACAGCCAUGUUAUAGCUGCCUGGUUUCCACCAUCUUCCACCAUCAAUCCGAUGCAACACCUGCCGGAAAAUGCAGCAAAUCUCCAACGGCUUCUCCUUCCAGUGUGGGAACCUGGACACUCUGUAAACCUUGCUCAGAUCUUGUGCCCUGGGCCUUGGGCAAGUCUUGGUGUGGAUGAUGUCCAGGGCCUACCAAGACAAGGGUUCUCGAACAACUGUGGGGUGUUUGUUUUGAUGGUCUGAACAAGAGAGGUCGCAAGACUGCAAGAGGCGACGGGAGGAAAAGGCAAUGCAGGAUGAAGAGGUUGUGAGGUUCCACAAAAGAAGCAGGCCAUCAUUUGAGAUGGGGUCAUGAGUGACCGCUGCUGGGGGGGAGCUGUUACAAUCAGCUGUAUUAGGUUCACUAAUGCCUCAAAAUGUAUUAGUUGUCACGAUCUGUCUGUGUAUUAUUUUGUCCUGUCUUGUCUGUUGCUUUCUGUGUUCAAUAAAAUUGAAAGUCCUGAA
Gymnodraco acuticeps is the source of this 900-nucleotide RNA transcript. RefSeq lists it as uncharacterized. Lineage: Eukaryota; Metazoa; Chordata; Actinopteri; Perciformes; Bathydraconidae. The record is from RefSeq and is a predicted model, not a curated record. The transcript is spliced from 11 exons.